AUUUUAUGCACGUUGAUUGGACAACCUACAUAUUUACAGAUUUUGCGCGAUGUUGAUAGUCGCUGAGACACGGAUGUGGGUCGUAUUUCUUCCCAAAUUACUCAUCGCCGUGCCAACUGAUAUCCUUCGUGUGUUCACUAACUAGUGUGAUUUCCAAGUGACCUGGGAAAGUGGGAAGGAGUUUGUCCCAUGCAGCCACCAUUUGAGCUUGAAUGUCAAAGGUCAAUGUCAUCCCUGGAUAGUUGAUAUGGAUGGGAUGUUUACUCCUAAGCAAUUCAUCCAUAAUGCACAGACAACUGUAAUGUAAAGCCAAGGUACGGUGUGAUUUGAGACUGAACAAGUAAACACAGCGUUGGGACAUUGUCUGCAGCAUUGUGCAUGGUAAACAAGCAAGGACAAAGUCUGCCUAAUACAGUCAUUAUGGGUCUCCGUUUGCUUGUGUGUCGAACCUUGAAACAGCCUUAGAUUUAGAAAUUGGAACCUAAAGUCAAUUUCCCUGGAUGUCCCUUGGACAUCACUUGGACAUCGCUGAUUAUUUCUGUAGAUGAACAUUUUUGACAAGGCCAUAUAUUUUACACGUGGGGAUAGUUGUUUUUAAACAAUCCCUGUGCCUUGUAAUAAUAUAUUAUCAUCAGCAAAGUGCCUCAGUAAUCGACAUUGAACCUUCGAUGCCCGUAAUCCAUCAAGUGAAUAACUAAACUGAAGGUCAGCCUUUGUUUGGCCAACGUUGACCGUUCCCCUGCGGAGCAGCUGAGCAGUGUUAAUGGUCAGCAGAGCCUUGGAACUUGGCAGCAUAUUGCCGCAGUGGAAAGACUGUCAUUAAGAUUCAACGUGUGUCGUCAACAAAUGUGCCAAUCCGUGAGAUGCCCUGUGUGCUUGAUACAUGUCUAUGAAUGGUUCAUGGAUUGUCUGUGUAUGUGAGUCACUGAGCUCUGGGAAUUACUGAAUGUGAAGCUUGCUGCUGCAAAUUCCUGUAAUAAGGAGGAUAUCAAGCUGUGAGAAAAACUCACUACUUAAACAGGUGAACAUUGCCUUGAAUUCUUGCUGUUGUUUACAGUGUCAAGUUCAAAAGGAGGACCUCGCUUGGGUUAACCACAAAGUGGAUUAGGCUCAGAGCAGCAGGUGAAAGCUGUUCUUUGUUAGCAAGCAUUGAUUGUGUACGUUGAACCUAGAGUCAGUAAUGCGGCCCGUUUUAUGUGGAGCAACCAAUACAGUGGACUCUAACACUCCUAGACAGGGGUUAGAGUCCACUGAAGACGGCACCAUGCAGAAGAUUCUUCGGUCACCGGUGACCAUGAAGAAGAAACUCAACAGUAAGACGUUUGGUGUCCCGUUGAAAGAGCUAUCAAGAGGUCCAAAGGGAGUCAGGGUACCAGUCUUCAUCAGGAAGAUAUGUGACUUCAUUCAAAUGCAUGGUAUUGGGCACGAGGGAAUCUUUCGCAUCAACGGUAGCACCAGAGUGGUGGAGAAGAUGAAAGCGGUGAUUGAUAAGAUGGGUGAUGUAGAUCUUGAGGAGGCAGGAGACGUGAUGGCCGUGGCUAGUCUUCUCAAACUAUUCCUGAGGGAAUUACCGGAUCCUGUCAUGACUGAGACGCUUCAUCACAAGUUCAUUAAUACUCAAUUGGCCAGCCAAUCCAAUCCAGAUGACUGUAUCCAGCAGCUCAAGACUCUCCUACAAGAUCUACCAGAGGAACAUUACAUCGUCUUACGCUAUCUGAUCAGAUUCCUAGUCAUGGUGUCACAGUAUGAAGCCACUAACAAGAUGAACUCUAAUGCAUUGGCUAUUGUCUUUGGCCCAAAUCUCUUCAGGUGUAGUUUAGGUUUGGAUGGCUUACGAGAGCAAGGCAUCACCAACAACAUUGUAAGGUUAUUAAUAGAUGAAUACGACACCAUCUUCAAGUCGGAUGAGAAGGAUGAGGUAUCCCCGCCUCCUGCUCCGACGUCAGGGUCAAAGUGCAUCCAGGUUCAGGCGACAAACUCAAAGAGGUCACCGCCAGUCAAACCGGUGCCUUAUCAGGAUUACAUCAGACAGAAAGAUGCAAAAAAAUUCUUGUCUUGGUCACAGAAGAAAGGGCUGGAAGACCUUCGUGAUGUCAACAGUAAUUCCUUGACGGAUACCAACAGGGAAGAACUGAAGAAAGCUGACGAUGUUAGAGAUUGUGAGUCACCAGCCGGUGGGCUGCUCAGUCCCAGGGAUGUGAGUGGCUUUGAAGAGAGGGCUUUCUCACCCUUCAACUUGGACAGUGAGACGGGAACUAGCACAGCGCCCUCGCCUGUCAUCAAUGACCUCACAUCUGAACUGGUUGAGAAGACCAUUCAGGAGACAGUAUCGCAGCAUCUGUUUGGUCAGAGCCCCUCACUGGAUAGAGAUGAAAGCCUUACUUCACCAUCUCCAGAAGUACCAGUGCCUUCACCACGGCGAAGAUGGCAGAAAAAACAUGAAUCAGAAACAGAAAGCAAAGACAUCGAUAAUGGCGUUGAUUCCCCUGACGGACAGAGUACAUCCUCCGUUGAGGAGAUUUACCCAACAGUCCGAGAUCGCAUCCGGUCGUUUUCGUCCUCAGCACCAGACAACAAAUCACCCGAGAGCUCACCCAAGGUGAAAAGGAAACACCAGCCCUCGUCCAGAGCGUUUGACAUGUUUGAAACUCAGGGAAUAGUUAUUGGUCCCGCGCCGGGUGAAUCUCCCGUGACCAAAAAGAAACAGCCUACCGCCUCUGCAAUUCCUGUCAUCGUUGAAGACCCGAAGCGGGACCGAACAAACAGUCGCAGUCCACCAUCGCGGAGAAAAGCCCCAGAACCACCUUCCAGACCAUCGCGGGGCAAAUCCUACCUGCUCAAAUCCAAAGGUCAUGAGCAGAGGUCACAGGAAUCUGGGUCACCGGGGUCAGGGUCACCAAAGUCAAAGUCGCCAAGGUCAAAUUCCCCAAGGUCAAAUUCACCAAGAUCCAACUCACCAAGGUCCACUUCAUCGCGAUCAAAUUCUCCCAAAACGUAUUCAACCAAGUCAGAUUCACCCAAGUCAAGAUCACCGCGGUCAAAAUCUCCAAAGUCACAAUCACCAAAGCCAAUAUCAUUACGCAAUAGUAGAUUGUCCAGCAAGGACAAGCCCUCUCAUCAGCCAGUGAGUGACCCUCUAGUCACAGGAAUCCAUGCUGAUUUUGACAGUCUGUCUUGCAACUCUCCAACUCUUAAAUCGUUAACAGCUGGAAGAGUAGCGCCUCCCAAAAAUAGACGGUCACCCUCAAAAAGGAAAAGCAGGACGCCGGAACCAGAGUCUGUAUUGAGACCUGAGGAAGGAAGUCGACCAUUCACGGAGCAACUAUCCAUCAUCAUACCGGGUACCGAACCCCCAGGGGAGGGUAUAGACACACCCCAGGACACACCCCAGCCCAAACCACGCAAGAAACACUUCAACGGUGAGCCUGCCAUGUUAGGGGUGGAGCCAAGCCAGGGUGUAUCUGGGGGGUUGGAGGCUUUGAUGAACGGAGGAAAGGACGUAGCGAAGUCACCCCCGAGAUCACCGCAACGACGCGAGCACACUGUCCCACCGCUAAACUUGACCAGCUUGCAUGAACACACAGAUGGUGAAGAGCCCAUUCCAGCGUGGAAGUCAAGACAUUUCCAAGAUGGCAACCAAGAAGCUAUGCUAUCACCGCGCUCACUCAAACUACAAACCAUCACACAUCUGGCUGGCCAUCAGGAAGCCCCACCCUCUCCCAGAGCCCGAGAUAUUCCAUUCAGCUUCAACAGUGUGUCACAUGACACGGACGUACCACCGUCCCCUCCUUCAGCUCAGCCGAUACUGACCUGUGUCUCCAAGAGAGCUGAUAAACAUCCUGAAGAGAAUGACAUGACUAGUGUCAAGCAACUUACUAAGCAGAUCCGAACCCUGAAGCGGAAGAUACGACAGUAUGAAGAGGAGUUUGAAGAUGAACAUGGGUACAAGCCAUCUCACAUUCACAAGACUUCCCAACCGCAAAUCAAGAAGAUGAUGGGAGAUUUGAAACGGGCAAACAAGCAACUUAAAGAAGCUAAAGAGAAUGCAGCGAAAGCCAAGGUUCCAUUGUCAAACACCCUACCGGCGAAGAUGGUGGGCCGGAACCUGAAAAAACAGUUUGAAGAAGCUACAGUCAUGACCAACAUGGAGAUUGCUCUUGAGGAGACGGAAACCAGACUACAAGAGAAAAGAGAUGAGGCUAACAGACCUGAGGAUAUAAAUAAUAUGAACAAAGAGGAAGUGCAAGAAGAGAAAACAGCAAUACAGAAGGCCUUGCUACAAAUGGAGAAUAAGUUUGGAAGACCCAGUACCAAAGAAACUAAAGAGUUGAUGAAGCCGCUAUACGACCGCUACAGGAAUGUCAAGAAACUCCUUGUCAGGCUGGAAUUGCGGCAACCUGAGGAUGGACAACCCUCAUCGCUGGACCUACAAACGAUCAAAGAAAACGAAGAAACAAAAGAAUUCCAACCAAAACAGAUGGGCCAGGUUCACAAUUUUUACUCCGAAAUGGGCGAGGCAGAAGAGGAAGAAAUGCAGACGACAGAUUUCACAGUCACUCAAGACAUGAGGGGAAUCCUGAGCAAUGUAGAUCUGGAAGAUAGUUACCCUAGUCCUGCUGAUAGUAGGCGGAGUAGCAGCGGAGGAAGGGAGGAGCCAACACCGAUACCGGAGGCAGCGUCCAAUCUACACGAGGCGUCAUUAAGUGAACUCUUAGCUAUGCAGAACCAAUCCAAGGAAGACAAGAAGCGAUUGCGGAAAGUCCUCAAGGAAUUUGAGGAUAACUUCUUGAAGGAGUCUGGGCGCAGUGUGCAGAAGGAAGACAGGGUUCCCAUGGAAACACAGUAUAAUGAAUACAAGCAAGUCAAGUCUAAGCUAAGGCUUCUAGAAGCCUUAUUGGCCAAGCGCAUUGAGUACACGUAGUGAUCGUGGUGUAAAGUGACUGUCUUUGUAGUUUUCCAGUUCUUUGCUUCUUGUGCAUGUCAAGAAGCACCUGAAGUUACUAGAAGCAUUGGUUGCCAAGCACCGAACCCAAGCCUCUGACCCACCAGAACAGCUGAUCCUUGCUGAUUUAUGAUAGGCUCCGAGUGUAUAAACUACAACAUUUGGCCUGAAUACAGUGCCGCGUAUAAUCCCUGCGUGGAGCUUAUAUAGCAAAGCGCCUCUUGCCUUGUACAUACUGCAACAAAUACCACAAACAGCUCCACAUUUUAUGAUCAUUGAAGCCGUCUUGCAGCGUGUGGCUUAUCAAUGGAAGAUGAUGUCUUGUACCUAGACUCGUAUCCAUGCUACACAUUAGGCUGAUGUCACCAUCCUUGCUCUCCAGUCUGGUUCUGGCAGUCAUGUAUUGACAGAUGAAUUACAUGUACUUGUUGGCUACGGCUAGAAAUGACACACGCACCUAUGGAAGCGGCUGUGGCUACUUCCCAUAGACGUGUGUGUUAUUUCCAGUCAUAGCCAUGUAAUUCAGAUGCGGCUAGAUACAGCCCAUAUCAGCUCUGUGCAUGACGGGGCCCUCUACUGCUGAAGUACAGAGAACAGUGCUCAAAGUGGGGAAGUGAAAGCUGUUUCCUGUCAUUCAAAACUGGAUGAAUGUUUGAUACAGUACACUAUCCUUGUGUUGUGCGUGUAGUGCAAAAUAAUCUCUACUGUUGACACCAACUGCAUGACACCAACAGCAUGACACCAACUGCAUGACACCAACUGCAUGAUAUGAAUUAUCAUGAAGGGUUUGGUAAUGGCUUCACAAAAUCAGAACAGUACCUUAAUGUUACAGGGACAGUACAGUGUUGUGAUACUGUGAUUAAUAUUGCCUUUGUUAUGCUCAGGAAUUCUCCUACGCACCCCCCCCCCCCCCAUUCCUAGAACGUCAGUGUUUAUUUAGACUGUGAGUUAUGCAACAUUUAGUGAAGUCACAUCAUGCAAUAUGUGUACAAAAUAUCCCCAUAGUUACGCAAAAAGUACGAUAUUAGUAUCUCCUUGAAACUACCAAAGAUGAAGGUUUGCAGUCUGAUCAUCAUUUUGGCACAAAAGCUUGUGCCUUGAAGUUUUUGUAAAUUUGCUGCAAAAUUAUGAAAAAUAUCCUGGCAUUACAUGUGCGUCAUGAUAUACAUGUACGUACUAAAGACUUAAAGUACUAGAGAAGUUAGUACUGUAAGGUACAUGUUCAUGAAUGAAGUACUGCAAAUUUGAAGUACUAAAGUAUUAAACCAUAGUUAAUGUACUUGUUGGUCUCGCGAGUAAUUGGGAGAUAAGAUUAAACUGUUUAAUUGUUAAAAUAAGGCAACGUAAAAGUGACAGAAAUUCUGUCACAGAAAAAGAAGUGCUUUUCAGAAAGGAGAUUUAUAAUGGUUAUUGUGGAAUUGUGUGUUAAAAAUGUGUGAUGUGCCAUUACGAGUGAGUUAUUGAGGGCAGUCCUGAGAUUUUAUAGGAAAGCGCCCUCUAUUGUUAGAAUUUGUCUAGUUUGUGUUUAAAGAAGUUUAUCGAGGCGAUUCGAAUGAUGAAGACGGAAUAGACACUGCCACAUGAAGUGCAAAGAACAGACGAUGUUUAUAAUCCAAGUUCAUGUUUAACCAAGUAUAAAGGAAAGUACUUUGUAUAUAAAAAGGAAAUUUUUAUGAAGAAGUUUCAUCUCAUAAGAAGUUGAACUGUACAAAUAAGAACUUUGUUGUAAAGAACAAAACAUGAACAAACUGAAUGUGGUUUUGUAAAAUGUAAUGUUGGUACUUAAUUCUUGUAGUACUGGAAGUGUAUUGGUGAAGACUUGUACAAGUAUAUGGCUUUGCCAGCCUAUUUGUUUUUUUUAUGCUGUCGGCAGUUUUGUUUGCCAAAAGAUGGAACACAUAUUUUCCAGGUUAUUUUCCUAGUUUGCAGUAACCCACAAAAAGCAAUUUUGCUAUAUUCCUACUCAAAAAUUUAUCAACGUAAGUUUGAUUUCAACAUAGUAGCUGUUUUAUAAAGGCAAUCCCAAAAGAUUUAAAUUUCUUUGCUAUAAAUUCUUUGCUAGACACGGAGCAAGUUUUCAUGGAGUGGAUUUUGGAUCAUUUCCAGGAUGUCUGGAGUUGUAAUUCACAAACCUUGGACAACAUGACUUGCCUUGGGCUGCCUUGGGCACAGGAAGUACACUGUCUGCUUAUCUCUCCCGUUAGUGUUUAGUUUGGUCCCAAAAAUGACUUGUGGAGUCUAUGUCCUCCUUAUUUAAAGGUCAACCAUCUGGAAAAAUCAUUACUUUGGUUUCAGUGACACCCUUGGCAGGAUAUUCUUGUCGUUAAUGCCGUGUACUGUCACUGUUCAGCUAGAUCACCCAAAGAUACUACCCCUGGAUAAAUGUAUGACAAAGUAAUGAAUCCAGUCAUAUGCCACAUUUUAUUGUUCUAACAGUACUUCAGGAACUGUAGACAGAAGACAAUAGGUACAUGAAGGUUUAGCAAGGUGAUUUAAUCCAUUGUCAUUUAUGAAAUUCUGGGUGUGGCAGUUGCACUGCAUCAAGUGACAUUGUCAGUCCACAUGACAGUGGCUGUGACUUCAAACACUAAGCUCCAUUGCCCAGAUUAAGCCAUAGCUCCAGCAUCCAUGGCCCUUCUGAAAGCCACAGCGUGAAGAUGUUGCCAUGUUGGUGUUUAUGAAUCACUGGGUUCAGGUUCACGCUCAAAGUCACUUGAGAAUCUUUGUCAGAAAUAUACUGUGUGUAGUGUCAUUUGUAAAAAAAAAAUUGUGAAAAGUUAUAUUAAAAAAAAGAUUUUUGUUGUCCAUUGGGUCAUGUGCAUUAAUUGUAUACAUGUAAGAUAUUUAGGCUUUCAUCCCUUUGUGAGCAAGUCUCGUUAAAAAUUAUGUAAAUAGUUUUCUUUGUCACACUGAAGUGAAGUGUUUGUUGUAGCUUUUGAUGCAUCUUGAAGUCAAAUGUUUGUUGACUUUUUGUUUUGUGCAUUUGGUGAGAUUAUAACAACCAAUGUAAGUGGACGGAAUUAGGAGAAGGCAACUUUUGCCGUUUGUCUAUUUUUCAAUAAAAUGAAGCAGAAGAACCAAAGACAUAA
RNAcentral lists this unclassified non-coding RNA (8031 nucleotides) under Patiria miniata (bat star). RNAcentral describes it as "protein FAM13A-like, transcript variant X3". The record is from RNAcentral. Lineage: Eukaryota; Metazoa; Echinodermata; Asteroidea; Valvatida; Asterinidae.